RNAcentral lists this ribosomal RNA (253 nucleotides) under uncultured bacterium. RNAcentral's name for it is "partial 16S ribosomal RNA". It matches the Rfam family "Bacterial small subunit ribosomal RNA", at positions 524 to 776 of the family's 1533-position model. The record is from RNAcentral.
UACGGAGGAUCCGAGCGUUAUCCGGAUUUAUUGGGUUUAAAGGGUGCGUAGGCGGUUUGAUAAGUUAGAGGUGAAAUGUCGGGGCUCAACCCCGAAACUGCCUCUAGUACUGUUGGACUAGAGAAUAGUUGCGGUAGGCGGAAUGUAUGGUGUAGCGGUGAAAUGCUUAGAGAUCAUACAGAACACCGAUUGCGAAGGCAGCUUACCAAACUAUAUCUGACGUUGAGGCACGAAAGCGUGGGUAGCAAACAGG